GACGAACGCUGGCGGCGUGCCUAAUACAUGCAAGUCGAGCGCUGAAGGUUGGUACUUGUACCAACUGGAUGAGCAGCGAACGGGUGAGUAACGCGUGGGCAAUCUGCCUUUGAGCGGGGGACAACAUUUGGAAACGAAUGCUAAUACCGCAUAAAACCUUUAAACACAUGUUUUAAGUUUGAAAGAUGCAAUUGCUUCACUCAAGGUCGAUCCCGCGUUGUAUUAGCUAGUUGGUGAGGUAAAGGCUCACCAAGGCGAGGAUACAUAGCCGACCGGAGAGGGUGAGCGGCCGCACUGAGAGGGAGACACGCCCCAAAGGCAUACGGGAAGGGGCAGGAGGGAAUCGGCAGCAAGGGGCGAAAGACAGAGCGAGCAACGCGGAGGGAGGGAAGAAGGUUGUCGGGUCGUAAAACUCGGUUGGUGGGGAAGAACGUUGGUGAGAGUGGAAAGCACAUCAAGUGACGGUAACUACCCAGAAAGGGACGGCUAACUACGUG
RNAcentral lists this ribosomal RNA (497 nucleotides) under uncultured bacterium. RNAcentral describes it as "partial 16S ribosomal RNA". It matches the Rfam family "Bacterial small subunit ribosomal RNA", at positions 28 to 507 of the family's 1533-position model. The record is from RNAcentral.